RNAcentral lists this ribosomal RNA (270 nucleotides) under uncultured bacterium. RNAcentral describes it as "partial 16S ribosomal RNA". It matches the Rfam family "Bacterial small subunit ribosomal RNA", at positions 28 to 307 of the family's 1533-position model. The record is from RNAcentral.
GACUAACGCUGGCGGCGUGCCUAACACAUGCAAGUCGAACGAAGUAGCAAUACUUAGUGGCAGACGGGUGAGUAACACGUAGUCAACCUACCUCUUAAUGGGGGAUAACUAGCCGAAAGGUUAGCUAAUACCGCAUACGAUCGCCGAGUGGCAUCACACGGCGAUGAAAGGAGCAAUCCGUUAAGAGAGGGGACUGCGUCCCAUUAGUUAGUUGGUGGGGUAACGGCCUACCAAGACUCCGAUGGGUAGCUGGCUUGAGAGAGCGACCAG